This 76-nucleotide ribosomal RNA is filed under the name Clostridium perfringens. RNAcentral describes it as "partial 16S ribosomal RNA". It matches the Rfam family "Bacterial small subunit ribosomal RNA", at positions 1 to 76 of the family's 1533-position model. Lineage: Bacteria; Bacillati; Bacillota; Clostridia; Eubacteriales; Clostridiaceae. The record is from RNAcentral.
UAAAUUGAGAGUUUGAUCCUGGCUCAGGAUGAACGCUGGCGGCGUGCUUAACACAUGCAAGUCGAGCGAUGAAGUU